Molecule: ribosomal RNA, 465 nt
Filed under: uncultured bacterium
Lineage: Bacteria
Description: partial 16S ribosomal RNA
Rfam family: Bacterial small subunit ribosomal RNA
Source: RNAcentral
CCUACGGGAGACUGCAGUGGGGAAUUUUGGUCAAUGGGCGCAAGCCUGAACCAGCGAUGCCGCGUGAAUGACGAAGGCCUUCGGGUCGUAAAGCUCUUUUGAUAGGGAAAAAAAUCACCAUAAGUAACUGUGUUCGUAUUGACGGUACCUGUACAGGCAGGCCCGGCUAACUCCGUGCCAGCAGCCGCGGUAAUACGGAGGGGGCGAGCGUUGUUCGGACUGAUUGGGCGUAAAGGGCGCGCAGGCGGUCCUGCAAGUCAGUAGUGAAACACAAGAGCUCAACUGUAGCAUGGCUUUGGAAACUGGAAGACUGGAGAGCAGGAGAGGGAGGCGGAACUCGUGGUGUAGCGGUAAAAUGCGUAGAUAUAAGGAAGAACACCGGUAGCGAAGGCGGCAGACUGGACUGAGGCUGACGCUGAGGCGCGAAAGCGUGGGUAGCAAACAGGAUUAGAUACCCCGGUAGUC